RNAcentral lists this ribosomal RNA (253 nucleotides) under uncultured bacterium. Its description in RNAcentral is "partial 16S ribosomal RNA". It matches the Rfam family "Bacterial small subunit ribosomal RNA", at positions 524 to 776 of the family's 1533-position model. The record is from RNAcentral.
UACGAAGGGUGCAAGCGUUACUCGGAAUUACUGGGCGUAAAGCGUGCGUAGGUGGUUCGUUAAGUCUGUCGUGAAAGCCCCGGGCUCAACCUGGGAAUGGCGAUGGAUACUGGCGAGCUAGAGUGCGGUAGAGGGUGGUGGAAUUCCCGGUGUAGCAGUGAAAUGCGUAGAUAUCGGGAGGAACACCAGUGGCGAAGGCGACUACCUGGCCUGUUCUUGACGCUGAGGCGCGAAAGCUAGGGGAGCAAACGGG